GUCUUGCUCUGCUGCUGACACUGGCCUUGAGCUGCUGGUCUCAAGCGAUCCUCCAGCCUCAGCCUCCUGAGUUGGGAUUACAGGCACAAGCCACAGUGCUCGACUUUUUAUUUAAUCUUGUUAGAAGACAAGACAGAAACAUGUCCGUUGUGAAAACAAGGAAGCUGCGGGCGGAUCGAUUGACCCCAGGAGUUCAAGACCAUUCUGGGCAACAUAGCAAGACUCUAUCUCUGAAGACAAAACCAGCCAACCAACCAACCAACCAAUCAACCAACAAAAAAGAUCAAGCAGAGGUGCUCCAGAGGACGCAGCAAUAGAAUUCCGGAGCAAUGUCUGCUUGGCCUCGGUCUUCAUUCCCAUGGUGGCCCCUGAGUUCCGUGGAGCUCACUUCUACAUAGUUCCAUGUGUGACUUCAACAAAAUAAAAUGACGCAUUUAUUGGUUAAAAAUCAGA
Gorilla gorilla gorilla (western lowland gorilla) is the source of this 453-nucleotide long non-coding RNA. RefSeq lists it as uncharacterized. The transcript has 2 exons. Lineage: Eukaryota; Metazoa; Chordata; Mammalia; Primates; Hominidae. The record is from RefSeq and is a predicted model, not a curated record.